AUGAUGAUGAUGAUGAUGAUGAUGCACCCGAUGCGACCCUGACUCAGUCCAAAAAGUUUUCGUUCUCGCUACCUCGGCUGAGCCGAACUCCAUUGCGCGCAAUGGGCAACGGAUGCCGGCAACCUACCUACUCAGCCGCAUCGUCUCACGAAUGACUACAAUAUUUAGUCAUUUAGAGUACGAUGAAAAACGCCGAAUUCAAGAUAGAACGACAGUAAAUACGAUUUUAAAAUGCCUUUUAUAAAGUUAACAGAUGUAGUAUGAAAGCAGAAGGAACAGGGAAGAAAAUUAGGGAAACACGAUCGAUCGAAUCGACCAUACGUAUAUUUGCUUAUUGUCGAUUACCGAAGGGUCAACUCACAGCCUAUAGCAUUGAGAAAAUCUUUUAUUUUUGUCAAUUAUUUUUGUAAAUAAUGAAAUAGGAAAAUGUGCACACAAAGCUUUGUGGAUUUGUUGGUAUGGAAAGGUUGCUUCGGUGACGAUGUACCGUAUAGCGAAUUAAUGCCAGGGCGUCAUUCCCUGUCGAUUUGUUUUCCUUUUCGAAAACCCGACUAGUAAAGGUCGAAUCAAGGAUCGAACGACAGAAUAUAUGAUUUUUAAUUCUUUUUAAAAAUGCAGCAGACGUUUUACAAAAGCAGAAUUAAUCAGCAAAAGGAUUAAACACAUCGGCAAACACGAAAUUGACAGAAUUCCUAUACGUGCUUGCAUCGUGUAACGAAGGGUCAACAACAAAGGCUAUAGCACUGGGAGAAGUGCUGAUAUUUUUAAUAAAGAGAAAAAAAAAUGUCUAAAGAGCUUUGUGGAGUUUUUUAAUAUGUGAAAGUCUGUGUUGUUUUUAUUUUGAUGAGGAGUAGAGGUGGGGGGACGUCAGUCAGUGUCAUUUGAUUUCCUUUUCCAAAGAGUUCCAAAACACGUCCAGAAUGCUUUCUAAAAAGUAUAGAGGCGGAUCACAAAAGCAGAAGGAAACGUGGGGAAAUUAUAUAUUGUAUGCACUAUAAUAUUAUAUUGUUAGCCUUAGUCUUUUAAGGUUCGAUUUUCUUCUGGUACAAAGUUAGGAAGUAUUUUUUCUGUAAGGGAGGAGUCAUUUCGAUGUUCUCUCCUUAAAACAAAAGAAAAAGAAACAAAACCAAAAACUGGUUAUUUAGAAAAGUAAAAUUAAGAAAUAAAAUCAUACAAAUAGAUAAAACAUGUAUAAUAUCACCAAGAAGAAUUAAUGUCAAAGCUAAUGAAAACGAGAACCCCACUAAUACGUGUCUCCCUGUUGGGAGCUCUUCCAUUAGUCUCGGUGCGUCCACGUGUGUGUACUCGAUUAUUAACUUCGUCAUAAGCAGUUGCUUUCUUACUUUGUAGGUAUUUUUUUUUAAUGCUUAUGUAUUGUCAGAGAGCAGUUUCGAUUCCAGCAAUGUUACAUCAGCUUGAUGGAAAUGCAGUUCGUUCUUAGAACUGUUGUCAUUAAGAUUGUAUAUCUCCCACAUGUACAUAGAUCAGCGUUCAUAACGUCUGUAUUGAGUAUCGUACAUGAAAUAGGAAUAGUAAGCGUUUAUAAAGAGUUGAUAGCUAUACAUUAUAACUGAAAUUAAUGUGGUGGUCAUGCUACAAUACAUUUCAUAAAUAAGCAAAUGUGAUUUGUAUUAGGCCGUGUCUUGCCACUCAAAUUGUUUACUUUGUGGUAUUGAUCUCGUUUUUCUCUCUUUUACUAUUUUAUGAAGACGCUUGCAGUGAAUCAACUAUGCCACGGCCAAGAAAGUGGUAUCCAGGUGGAUAUAUUUCCUAUAUGGAUAAACGCGGGCAUGUUCGUCAGCGUAGGGUACGAUUUUCAUCGCAGGCUGUUAGGGCUUGUACGGAGGAAAAUAGAACUCUUCAACAGGGGCAAAGUGGACGUUUAAGCACCCAUCAACGGGAGGAAUGUGCCACCUUCCAGGAUAUUCUUCUAGAUAGCAAUUCAUCAGAUGUAGCUGGAGUCAGCAAUCACAAGAAGAAAAAAGUGUCUGAGGCUGAGGGCUGGAAAGAUCUGCGAGCAGGUCUUGUUCGUGUCCACAUUGAAGGAUUCAGUCCUGCCACAAAAAAGUGCAGCUUCUGUGGCUGUACACAGGUCCAGAGAUUAUCUGGUGUCCUGACUGUGGACCUAGAAGCCUUUAUUGCAAGGCUUGUGAUGAGAAGAUCCAUUGUUUGGUGCUGUAUCAUCAGACAUACAGUUGGAAAGAAGAUGCAUCAUUGUUUGCACCUGUGUUAAGAGAAACAACCAUUUUGUCUGAGCACCAGUGUGACAAGCUCUACUACCGUCAGAUUACAGUUUUUGAUGCACAAGGCAGAGAUCACACAAUCAAAAUGCAGUUUUGUGAGUGUGAGCCGGAAGCUGUAACGUUAGUUAGAAUGGGUUAUGGCCAUCAACUCCGAAGAAGCCAGAGACAGCAUUCUGCAUGAAACUAAUGGAGCUAUGCAGAAUGCUACAACUAGAAGGGCAAAUGUCUCUGCAGAAAUUUUGUAAUGCAUUGCAGCGGAGGACAACAUUUCUGCACAGUCACAGCAGGGACUACAGAAACCUGUAUAAGGCAC
This is a long non-coding RNA of Pomacea canaliculata, 2556 nucleotides long. RefSeq lists it as uncharacterized. Lineage: Eukaryota; Metazoa; Mollusca; Gastropoda; Architaenioglossa; Ampullariidae. The record is from RefSeq and is a predicted model, not a curated record. The transcript is spliced from 4 exons.